UACGGAGGGUGCGAGCGUUAAUCGGAAUUACUGGGCGUAAAGCGUACGUAGGCGGCUUGUUAAGCAAGAUGUGAAAGCCCCGGGCUCAACCUGGGAAUGGCAUUUUGAACUGGCAAGCUCGAGUUCUGAAGAGGGUGGUAGAAUUUCCUGUGUAGCGGUGAAAUGCGUAGAUAUAGGAAGGAAUACCGGUGGCGAAGGCGGCCACCUGGUCAGAAACUGACGCUGAGGUACGAAAGCGUGGGGAGCAAACAGG
This 253-nucleotide non-coding RNA is filed under the name uncultured bacterium. RNAcentral describes it as "partial 16S ribosomal RNA". It matches the Rfam family "Bacterial small subunit ribosomal RNA", at positions 524 to 776 of the family's 1533-position model. The record is from RNAcentral. RNAcentral also lists the same sequence under 1 other name.